Molecule: non-coding RNA, 23 nt
Filed under: Cricetulus griseus (Chinese hamster)
Lineage: Eukaryota; Metazoa; Chordata; Mammalia; Rodentia; Cricetidae
Source: RNAcentral
GACAACUGACCUUGUUGAUGAAU